RNAcentral lists this ribosomal RNA (253 nucleotides) under uncultured bacterium. Its description in RNAcentral is "partial 16S ribosomal RNA". It matches the Rfam family "Bacterial small subunit ribosomal RNA", at positions 524 to 776 of the family's 1533-position model. The record is from RNAcentral.
UACGUAGGGGGCAAGCGUUAUCCGGAUUUACUGGGUGUAAAGGGAGCGUAGACGGCUCUGCAAGUCUGGAGUGAAAGCCCGGGGCUCAACCCCGGGACUGCUUUGGAAACUGUGGAGCUAGAGUGCAGGAGAGGUAAGUGGAAUUCCUAGUGUAGCGGUGAAAUGCGUAGAUAUUAGGAGGAACACCAGUGGCGAAGGCGGCUUACUGGACUGUAACUGACGUUGAGGCUCGAAGGCCAGGGGAGCAAACGGG